This 85-nucleotide transfer RNA is filed under the name Maribacter cobaltidurans. RNAcentral's name for it is "tRNA-Leu". It matches the Rfam family "tRNA". Rfam says of the family: Transfer RNA (tRNA) molecules are approximately 80 nucleotides in length. Their secondary structure includes four short double-helical elements and three loops (D, anti-codon, and T loops). Lineage: Bacteria; Pseudomonadati; Bacteroidota; Flavobacteriia; Flavobacteriales; Flavobacteriaceae. RNAcentral also lists the same sequence under 9 other names. The record is from RNAcentral.
GCUCGAGUGGCGGAAUUGGUAGACGCGCUGGAUUCAAAAUCCAGUUCUUUCGGGAGUGUGGGUUCGAUUCCCACCUCGAGUACAA